AUGUUUCAGGUCUUGGACCUGUUCCUGGGCUCCUGCACUCUGACAUCCAUCUCACCCGCUUUUAAGUGUCCGUCACAGCAGGCGUGGAAACCUGGAGGUUCCCUCCAGAUUUCACGACGCUUUCUUUCCACUCUACUUAUGUUUCAGGUCUUGGACCUGUUCCUGGUCUCCUGCACUCUGAUAUCCAUCUCACCCGCUUGUAAGUAUCCAUCACAGCAGGCGUGGAAACCUGGAGGAUCCCUCCAGAUAUCACAAUGCUUUCUUUCCAAUCUCCUUAUGUUUCAGGUCUUGGAUCUCUUCGUGGGCUCCUGCACUCUGAUAUCCAUCUCACCCGCUUGUUUCCUCGUCAUUGCUUCGGAGCCAGCAGAAGACAUGGAGCGGCAAGCUGGAAAAGAAUACACGCAGAAACCUGAACACACCCAUGUUUUAUAUUUGAAGUUUAGAAAGUUUUUUUAUGCACCUUAAAAAUCUGGCAAUCUCACAAACCUCAAAAGACUGAAGUUAAAUUCUCUCCGGCCUUAAAAUUUGUGAGCUGUCUUAGAUUUGUCCCACUUACUUUUUAUGAAAAUCAAUCUGCAAACUUGGUGUCUGGAUCAAAGAGAGCAGAGGAAAAAAUAUUUUGGAGAUGAACUUGACUUUGUUCUGCUGCGGCCAAAAAUGGUUUUCUCUGCCUCAUGUCUAAGUGCCUUGGUGUUUGUUGAGGUUUUUGCUUUAAACCGCAAUCCUGCCACAACAAAAAAGAAAUGAACGAACAAAAAGAGAGAGUCUGGGGAAAGAGAAAAUGAGGUGAUAAACCAGAUUCAGCAAAUUGAUGUGGAAGCGAGAAUGGUUGAUGUGUUUUCUUGUACAUUUUUCUGCAAGUAUUGACAGGGUGACUCAGGACUCAUGCAUAAUCAGGUUAUAUCAGUGUUCUUUGGCUAGCUGAUCACAUUAAAUCAUCACAUGUGACAUCUGCAUUACAUUACAUACCUCCAUCGUGUCUGCAUAAUAGUGAAAGGCAAUGAAAACUCUGGGCUGCUGGGCUUUUUUUCAUAAUCACUUUAAUAUAUGCAACAACGAUUAAACAUCUGUAUUGUUGCUCAUUCUAUUUAAUGAUAUAUAACACAUUAGAGGUCAAAUAGUUUGUCAGCUAAUCAGUACAUUAACAAAGACUUCACAUUAUCUUCUUAAACUUUCUGUGUGACAGGAUUUUGUAUUUUUUAAUAUUUAUAAAAAAUAAUCAUUAGAUAAAU
RNAcentral lists this long non-coding RNA (1232 nucleotides) under Oreochromis niloticus (Nile tilapia). RNAcentral describes it as "lncRNA (ENSONIG00000036217.1)". Lineage: Eukaryota; Metazoa; Chordata; Actinopteri; Cichliformes; Cichlidae. The record is from RNAcentral.